ACUGAGGCUUGGGGACCCUUUACGACUCUUGGAGCUCUUGAGUCAAGGUCUAGGGGAUUAUGGGACACCACCUGGGGCUGACAGUGGGCCAGCAAGUCCUGCCAGCGGAUCAUCUUGGGAGACUCACCCAUUGGUUGGGAGUAAUGUCCUGGCUACUGACCACGACCCCAGCCAGUGUCAGGAGGCUGUGACACAGAUAGCAGACCUGGAGAGGGAGAGAGAGAAAGCACAACAAGGAUGCUUCCCAACUCCUUCUGAGGCUGUGGGCUCCUGUCUUAGCCAGCAGCAGCAGCUUCCAGGAACACAUCUUCAGGGAGGGCCUCACUUCCUCAGAGCUGUGACUGUCCCAGUAGCCUGUACCCGGGACCCACAUUUCUUCUAAGUAUUGAUUGUCCUCAGAUGGCUUCCGAAAAAGAGAGAAUCCUUGCUACCCGGAAAGCCACGCCACCCUAAGCCUUAUCCUGUGACUCCAGAAGCAGAAGCCUGAAGGGCCUGUGCACCCUCACCUCUGCACAGCCUGCUUGCUAAGUCACCUACACCUGUGGUCAGUGACUGAGGUGAUCCUAUCCCUUGUGCCACCUCUCGGUCCCCGUCUUGUAAAUGUGCCCCAUAGUGGGUAAGCGCCUGCCCAAACCACAAACCUAGGCACAGCCCCGUCUGACAAUCAGCCCUGCCCCAGACACAAAGCUGGCAAGAGAAGGGGUGCCCAGUAGACGCGGUAUGCAUCGAAUAUCUGCAUGCCUUCGCCAUCCAGCCCACCUUCACUGUCGCCACUGGACACUUCAGAGAUAAAAACCAGGACAAAGGCCAUUUGGGAGGAACUGUACCUGGAACUGUUCCCUAGCUUAGAAGCUAAAGCAAGAAGAUCACAAGUUCAAGGCCAGCCAGGGCUACUGCAUAGAAAGAAAGCAUCUC
Molecule: long non-coding RNA, 915 nt
Filed under: Mus pahari (shrew mouse)
Lineage: Eukaryota; Metazoa; Chordata; Mammalia; Rodentia; Muridae
Description: lncRNA (MGP_PahariEiJ_G0012467.1)
Source: RNAcentral